AUGGCGAUUCACCUGCUGGCGUUCGUGGCGGCCAAGGGCUUCCUGCAGGUCUUCCAGGUCUCGGCGCCGCUGCUGUGGCCGCUCAACCUCUUCCUGCCGCUCCUCCGCAACCUUCCCCAGGCCUGCGUCGUCGUCUGCGGCGCGCUCGCCGCCCACGUCGCCUGGCUGCGCCGCGCGUACGCACGCCGCGGAUCCGGAAGCCGCGACGACGGCCAGGCCCACCGCCAGUCGAUGGUCGACAUCGCGUAG
RNAcentral lists this ribosomal RNA (249 nucleotides) under Triticum aestivum (bread wheat). RNAcentral describes it as "partial small subunit ribosomal RNA". The record is from RNAcentral. Lineage: Eukaryota; Viridiplantae; Streptophyta; Magnoliopsida; Poales; Poaceae.